UUAUCUUUUGACGAUUUGAACCACAUUCUUAAUCUCGUGACUUUUACCAUUACAUCUUAUGUCAAUUAGGAUUAUCAACAUACGUAUCUUAUGAAAUAAAUUAGAGGAAAAUUAGGUUAAUACGAUUGGGAUGUUACAGUUUUGCCCCAACCUCAACUCCACUAAGAGGUAGUUUAAUGUCGCUCUUGAUCAGUUCUUACCUUGAAAUCUUUGUCGGACAAUUAUCUUUUCAUUCAAUCUAGAUUCAAGAAAUGUUUGUUAAUCAAGUGUUGAGGGUACGACCUCCUGGGGUCAUCCUCGGCCUUCAAUCGUCGUCACCGAAGUCUCCGCGUUACCGCUGUUGUCGCCGGGCUAGCACAUUGCAGUAGCCAACAUCAUCAACUUCCACCUCCAGGUUUCCAACAAAGGUCAUGUAGAAAUAAAUCAAUCCUACAAUGAGACAUAUCACAAAAAGAGUUCAGAUACUGAAACUAUCAUCAACAUAUCAUCGAUUGUUAAGAAAUUGGACUGAGUUACAUUGCAAUGAUAUGUAGAAAUCAAUCCUGAUCCUCUAAGUCCAAAUCUGGGUGUGCAUGACCAUUUGGAGAGUUAUUUUGAGAGUUAAGUAAGCAACGAGUAACAAAUAGAUAUAUGUCCAGUACUUACUGAACUUUGUCCACAUCUUGGCAGCCAUAGCAGCAAUUGUAACAUUGGAAUCAGUUUUCCACUCCAUCAGAUUCAUCUUCAAUUCACAAAUCUUGAGGUAAAACAUAUUAGCAGUAGGGUAAUUAUCUCCAGAAAACAACUUAGAAAUUGUGUCAACACAAUUUUAGCUUCUCACCAACAAUACCAGUAAACAACCAAUCAUUUGAACAAGGCAGCGAGUUAUAUUGAGGUUCUCUUUGUCUCAAUCGAGUGAACACUUCUUUGUAAGGAAGUGCAGAAGCAAUCAUGUGGUAAGUUGAAUUCCACCUUGUUGGACAAUUGAGUGCAAGUUUAUUGCUAAUAGAAAUACCUUUUUGUUUAGAAGUCUCCUAAAACACUCAACCCUUAUAGGAGUAGCAGUCCAAUAAACAACACUAUCCCUAAUCCUAUCAAUACCCUCUUUGAUGAUAUCCAAACUAUCCCUCAGAAUAAGAUUAAGAACAUGAGCAGAACAUCUCAUGUGUACCAACGAUCCAUAAUAUCACUCAAAACCAUCUUCCUUUUAAUUUUCUCAAUCAUGGCAUCAUUUGUAAAACAAUUAUCUAGAGUCAUGGUGGAUAACUUACUAUCCACGUUCCAAGACAUGAUGCAUGAACGAAGUACUGUAGGCAAUUUCUCAUUUGUGUGACGAGUCAGAACAUAUAGGAACCCGAAACUCACAACAUUGAACAAACAAGAAGAAAUUGAUGAUUAGAACAACAUUGACCUAAAGUUUGAAAUUUGCUAUUAUAAACAAACCUAUGAACUACCGUUAGGGAAUUCCUCAGCCACACCUUUGCUUCUGAAGCUCUGAACGUUUCCUGCACCAACAAUCAACAAAUUAGAUGAUAAACGAUGAUGCAUGUCUGGAAAACUGAAAUUCUGGAAAUAAAAACAUCAAGUUGAAGGCUUAAAGCAACAGACUUAUAAGUUUUUCUUUUGAAGACUUCGACAGUAGGAUCGAUCGCUCGAAUUUGUUACAAAUACCAAACCGGAAAAGAUGAAAGGAUGAGAAUAGAUUAGAAUAGGUAUCAUUGAUCUAUUUAUACUGAACGAAAGCAAAAAAAGGAAGAACACGAAGAUUAACUUGGAGAUUUGAAUUGGCAUCGAGAAUGGCUGAAACAGUGAAAUCGAAGGGUUUUUUUGGAGAUACGGCGCUGGGUAUUACCUAAACUGUGGAAGAUUUUGAUUAUUCUAUCCGAAUUUUAUUCCAAUCGAGCGGAAAUAGUAAGGAUCGAGAGGUUAGGGUUUCGUGCAUGCGCCGUUGGGGGUUUCGAAAUCGAAAAAUGAAAGGGAUGUAUACCGGG
RNAcentral lists this long non-coding RNA (1970 nucleotides) under Linum usitatissimum (flax). RNAcentral describes it as "long non-coding RNA (LUSI_LNC008050)". The record is from RNAcentral. Lineage: Eukaryota; Viridiplantae; Streptophyta; Magnoliopsida; Malpighiales; Linaceae.